Molecule: ribosomal RNA, 468 nt
Filed under: uncultured bacterium
Lineage: Bacteria
Description: partial 16S ribosomal RNA
Rfam family: Bacterial small subunit ribosomal RNA
Source: RNAcentral
GACGAACGCUGGCGGCGUGCUUAACACAUGCAAGUCGAACGGAAAGGCCCUGCUUUUGUGGGGUGCUCGAGUGGCGAACGGGUGAGUAACACGUGAGUAACCUGCCCUUGACUUUGGGAUAACUUCAGGAAACUGGGGCUAAUACCGGAUAGGAGCUCCUGCUGCAUGGUGGGGGUUGGAAAGUUUCGGCGGUUGGGGAUGGACUCGCGGCUUAUCAGCUUGUUGGUGGGGUAGUGGCUUACCAAGGCUUUGACGGGUAGCCGGCCUGAGAGGGUGACCGGCCACAUGGGGACUGCGAUACGGCCCAGACUCCUACGGGAGGCAGCAGUGGGGAAUAUGGCACAAUGGGCGGAAGCCUGAUGCAGCAACGCCGCGUGCGGGAUGACGGCCUGCGGGUUGUAAACCGCUGUCGCCUGUGACGAAGCGUGAGUGACGGUAAUGGGUAAAGAAGCACCGGCUAACUACGUG